AGACCCGAAACCCGGUGAUCUAGCCAUGGGCAGGUUGAAGGUUGGGUAACACUAACUGGAGGACCGAACCGACUAAUGUUGAAAAAUUAGCGGAUGACCUGUGGCUGGGGGUGAAAGGCCAAUCAAACCGGGAGAUAGCUGGUUCUCCCCGAAAGCUAUUUAGGUAGCGCCUCGUGAAUUCAUCUCCGGGGGUAGAGCACUGUUUCGGCUAGGGGGCCAUCCCGGCUUACCAACCCGAUGCAAACUGCGAAUACCGGAGAAUGUUAUCACGGGAGACACACGGCGGGUGCUAACGUCCGUCGUGAAGAGGGAAACAACCCAGACCGCCAGCUAAGGUCCCAAAGUCAUGGUUAAGUGGGAAACGAUGUGGGAAGGCCCAGACAGCCAGGAUGUUGGCUUAGAAGCAGCCAUCAUUUAAAGAAAGCGUAAUAGCUCACUGGUCGAGUCGGCCUGCGCGGAAGAUGUAACGGGGCUAAACCAUGCACCGAAGCUGCGGCAGCGAACGUAUCACCCAAGACAACUUUACGGAGUUGACGAUUGACGGAGCGAAGCGACGUCAAAGCGUUCAUUAAAGUCGAGUUGGCUUAGGGAUACGUUCGUUGGGUAGGGGAGCGUUCUGUAAGCCUGUGAAGGUGUGUCGUGAGGCAUGCUGGAGGUAUCAGAAGUGCGAAUGCUGACAUAAGUAACGAUAAAGCGGGUGAAAAGCCCGCUCGCCGGAAGACCAAGGGUUCCUGUCCAACGUUAAUCGGGGCAGGGUGAGUCGACCCCUAAGGCGAGGCCGAAAGGCGUAGUCGAUGGGAAACGGGUUAAUAUUCCCGUACUUGGUGUUACUGCGAAGGGGGGACGGAGAAGGCUAUGUUGGCCGGGCGACGGUUGUCCCGGUUUAAGCGUGUAGGUGUGUGUUCCAGGUAAAUCCGGUUCACUUUAACACUGAGGCGUGACGACGAGGCACUACGGUGCUGAAGCAACAAAUGCCCUGCUUCCAGGAAAAGCCUCUAAGCAUCAGGUAACACGAAAUCGUACCCCAAACCGACACAGGUGGUCAGGUAGAGAAUACCAAGGCGCUUGAGAGAACUCGGGUGAAGGAACUAGGCAAAAUGGUGCCGUAACUUCGGGAGAAGGCACGCUGACACGUAGGUGAAGUGAUUUACUCAUGGAGCUGAAGUCAGUCGAAGAUACCAGCUGGCUGCAACUGUUUAUUAAAAACACAGCACUGUGCAAACACGAAAGUGGACGUAUACGGUGUGACGCCUGCCCGGUGCCGGAAGGUUAAUUGAUGGGGUCAGCGUAAGCGAAGCUCCUGAUCGAAGCCCCGGUAAACGGCGGCCGUAACUAUAACGGUCCUAAGGUAGCGAAAUUCCUUGUCGGGUAAGUUCCGACCUGCACGAAUGGCGUAAUGAUGGCCAGGCUGUCUCCACCCGAGACUCAGUGAAAUUGAACUCGCUGUGAAGAUGCAGUGUACCCGCGGCAAGACGGAAAGACCCCGUGAACCUUUACUAUAGCUUGACACUGAACAUUGAGCCUUGAUGUGUAGGAUAGGUGGGAGGCUUUGAAGUGUGGACGCCAGUCUGCAUGGAGCCGACCUUGAAAUACCACCCUUUAAUGUUUGAUGUUCUAACGUGGACCCGUAAUCCGGGUUGCGGACAGUGUCUGGUGGGUAGUUUGACUGGGGCGGUCUCCUCCUAAAGAGUAACGGAGGAGCACGAAGGUUGGCUAAUCCUGGUCGGACAUCAGGAGGUUAGUGCAAUGGCAUAAGCCAGCUUGACUGCGAGCGUGACGGCGCGAGCAGGUGCGAAAGCAGGUCAUAGUGAUCCGGUGGUUCUGAAUGGAAGGGCCAUCGCUCAACGGAUAAAAGGUACUCCGGGGAUAACAGGCUGAUACCGCCCAAGAGUUCAUAUCGACGGCGGUGUUUGGCACCUCGAUGUCGGCUCAUCACAUCCUGGGGCUGAAGUAGGUCCCAAGGGUAUGGCUGUUCGCCAUUUAAAGUGGUACGCGAGCUGGGUUUAGAACGUCGUGAGACAGUUCGGUCCCUAUCUGCCGUGGGCGCUGGAGAACUGAGGGGGGCUGCUCCUAGUACGAGAGGACCGGAGUGGACGCAUCACUGGUGUUCGGGUUGUCAUGCCAAUGGCACUGCCCGGUAGCUAAAUGCGGAAGAGAUAAGUGCUGAAAGCAUCUAAGCACGAAACUUGCCCCGAGAUGAGUUCUCCCUGAGACUUAGAGUCUCCUGAAGGAACGUUGAAGACGACGACGUUGAUAGGCCGGGUGUGUAAGCGCAGCGAUGCGUUGAGCUAACCGGUACUAAUGAACCGUG
RNAcentral lists this ribosomal RNA (2311 nucleotides) under Salmonella enterica subsp. enterica serovar Typhimurium. Its description in RNAcentral is "partial 23S ribosomal RNA". It matches the Rfam family "Bacterial large subunit ribosomal RNA", at positions 711 to 2912 of the family's 2925-position model. The record is from RNAcentral. Lineage: Bacteria; Pseudomonadati; Pseudomonadota; Gammaproteobacteria; Enterobacterales; Enterobacteriaceae.